GUAUAAUUAUAGCUGUUUGUUUUCACACAUUAGAAUCUUCUUCCCUCCCAGCCACGGCUAACCACUUUUCUCAGAAAUUUAAUACAAUUAAUUACAUAUUUUUUCAUGUACGCACACGUGCUUAAUUUUUUAAUAUCUCAAAGAGAACAAAACUAGCUAUCAUAUUUCUUGAUAUUAUUGAAUGAGUGCGAAUGAGAAAACAUAACUGUCAUUAGUGCCAAAAGAAAAUCCCAAAAAGGGUAAUUAAAAAAACGAUUGAAAGAUGCAAGUCAUUCGCUCGCUUAGAACAAAAGUAUUGGAAAUCAUAACAUAGCAUUGAAAAUCAUAGCACAUCAUUGGAAAUAACAAUUAUAUCAGAAGCAGCAAAUAUAAUAGAUAAAUAAAUCUUUGUUCUAUGGUUUAAAUCGACCUGAGCAGUGCAAUAAAAUAUCUGAUUAAACUGUUGCAUGACAUGAGAAAUUGACAUCCAGUUCGUACAGAUUUGGCAUUUCAUAUGGAUUUCCCGUUACAUUUGUGAUAAACGCCCGGAUAAUGAGAUAACUUUCGUAAAUUUCAACAUGACGCGCAGUGUAAAUACGAAUUAGAUGUGGCGAUUUCACAAAAAUGAAGCUCAACAACCUAAAAUGAAGUAAAAUGAGUUUGAUGUCUCACAAACCUCUAAAGCCAUAUUAACAAAAUUGCAAAUAACGAAUCAUUUUGGCAUCUUCUCAGACUGUGUGAAUAUUUUGAUUAUGUUAAAAACAAUUGGAUAUUCCAAGCGUAGCCAUGUCUUUCUCCAUCUGGUC
This is a long non-coding RNA of Bactrocera tryoni, 785 nucleotides long. RefSeq lists it as uncharacterized. The transcript has 3 exons. Lineage: Eukaryota; Metazoa; Arthropoda; Insecta; Diptera; Tephritidae. The record is from RefSeq and is a predicted model, not a curated record.